Molecule: transfer RNA, 32 nt
Filed under: Trachylepis damarana (Damara skink)
Lineage: Eukaryota; Metazoa; Chordata; Lepidosauria; Squamata; Scincidae
Description: partial tRNA-Tyr
Source: RNAcentral
GACUUGAUAAGAACGGGGCUUAAACCCGCCUG